ACACUUGCCUGGGAGAGAGAUAACCGUGAUCACCAGGGCAUUUUUUCCAGGACGAGGCUUCUCUGUGGCACUCUGCCUGUGCCGCCCCCUAGAUUUUCCCCAAAUGUGGGAAACUCAGAGGCAUGACUGUGGUAGUGGGACACUGCGUUUGCAUUUUUCCCCU
RNAcentral lists this small nuclear RNA (163 nucleotides) under Ursus thibetanus thibetanus. Its description in RNAcentral is "U1 spliceosomal RNA (ENSUTTG00000014392.1)". It matches the Rfam family "U1 spliceosomal RNA". Rfam says of the family: U1 is a small nuclear RNA (snRNA) component of the spliceosome (involved in pre-mRNA splicing). Lineage: Eukaryota; Metazoa; Chordata; Mammalia; Carnivora; Ursidae. The record is from RNAcentral.